GAUGAACGCUAGCUACAGGCUUAACACAUGCAAGUCGAGGGGCAUCAGUUUGGUUUGCUUGUCAAACCAAAGACUGGUCGACCGGCGCACGGGUGAGUAACACGUAUCCAACCUGCCUCAUACUCGGGGAUAGCCUUUCGAAAGAAGAUUAAUAUCCGAUAGCAUAUAUUUCCCGCAUGGGUUUUAUAUUAAAGAACUUCGGUUAUCGAUGGGGAUGCGUUCCAUUAGCUUGUUGGCGGGGUAACGGCCCACCAAGGCUUCGAUGGAUAGGGGUUCUGAGAGGAAGGUCCCCCACAUUGGAA
This 302-nucleotide ribosomal RNA is filed under the name uncultured bacterium. RNAcentral's name for it is "bacterial SSU rRNA". It matches the Rfam family "Bacterial small subunit ribosomal RNA", at positions 28 to 318 of the family's 1533-position model. The record is from RNAcentral.